Molecule: ribosomal RNA, 301 nt
Filed under: Isochrysis galbana
Lineage: Eukaryota; Haptophyta; Isochrysidales; Isochrysidaceae
Description: partial Bacterial small subunit ribosomal RNA
Rfam family: Bacterial small subunit ribosomal RNA
Source: RNAcentral
GUCUUGAAUUAUUGUGAAGUGGUUAGAAUAUGUAGUGUAGCGGUGAAAUGCAUAGAUAUUACGAAGAACAUCAGUGGCGAAGGCGGCCUGCUGGUCUACAACUGACGCUGAGGCACGAAAGCGUGGGGAGCGAACAGGAUUAGAUACCCUGGUAGUCCACGCCCUAAACGUUGAAUACUCGUUGUUAGCGAUAUACUGUUAGCGACUAAGCGAAAGCAUUAAGUAUUCCACCUGGGGAGUACGACCGCAAGGUUGAAACUCAAAGGAAUUGACGGGGGCCCGCACAAGCGGUGGAGCAUGU